This is a long non-coding RNA of Oreochromis niloticus (Nile tilapia), 7949 nucleotides long. RefSeq lists it as uncharacterized. The transcript is spliced from 3 exons. NCBI's taxonomy places the organism in Eukaryota, Metazoa, Chordata, Actinopteri, Cichliformes, Cichlidae. The record is from RefSeq and is a predicted model, not a curated record.
UUUAAUGUAAGCGAUGGCUUUGAUAGGCUGCAGACUUAUUUUCACAAAUGAGUGUGUCAAAUAUUGAGGUUCCUUAUAAAUCACCCUCCCUCUUUUCUCUUUUCCGAACCUUUCCGAGAGGCUUGGAAGAACAGCGUGAUUGCUUACAGCUCUGGCCCUCUUUCUCAGUAACCUUGCCUAAGUCAACAGUGGCCCCGCUGCUUUACUGCAUAAGAAAUUCUGAAGAUCAUAUUUGGGCCUCGAAGACGGAAACCUGCUAUGUGCCUUGAUUGACGGCCGAGCCUCGCACGGGCUCAGACUGCGAUGCCGUAAUGCGUUUUGCUUCCACAUCAACAGACGGAACAUGGAGGCUACAAAAGAGGAAAAGAUGGCCUGCGAUGAUGAGGAACCAAAGCGGCGGGCUUUUGGCACUCUUCGAGCCGCAUUUGAGAAUUUCCUACUUACCUCAUUUCAGAGGUGUUGCUUAAUCACAUUCACUGCCUGUCUGAAGAGCCAUGAAGAAAGAAGACCCAAAUGAGUUAAACUAUGAGGAUUACGAAGUUCAACUGGUGUUUCUUUAACCCCCGGAGACCCACAGUAAGUCAGCAAUCUUUGCAGGCUUUUGUGUUUUGUCAUUUUUACAGUUUUACACAUCCAAGAACAAGCAAAACAUCAGCUAAUUGUAUAUUACUGGACUUGCAUACACUUGCAACAGGGGAUAUUAGCCAAUAAAACAAAACUGUACAUUCGCAGUCACUUUAUUAAGUACAUCUGUUCAACUGCUUGUUUAUGCAACUAUCUAAUCAGCCAAUCACAUGACAGCAACUCAGGGCAGGCAGGGAGACAUGGUCAAGAAAACCUGCUGAAGUUCAAAUUGAACAUGAGAAUGGGGAAGAAGCAUAAUUUAAGUGAACUUAAACGUAGCAUGGUUGUUACUGUAAGUAUUUCAGAAACUGCUGAUCUGCAGGGAUUUUUCCAUAUGUACAUAUUUACACAGAAUGGUCUGAAAAAGAGAAAAUAUCCAGUGCGUGGCAGUUAAAAUGCUGAUCAAAGGAGAAUGGAAAGACUAAGAAUAGGAAGGCAGCAGUAACUAAAUAACCACUCAUUGCAAUCAAGACAUGCAGAAGAGCAUCUCUGAACGCACAGCACAUUGAACCUUGAAGCAGAUGAGCUACAGCAGCAGAGGACCACACUGGGUGCGAGUCCUGUCAGCUCAGAACAGGAAACUAAGGCUACAUUUCAAACAGGAUCACCAACACUGGACAAUGGAAUAUUGGAAAAAACGUUGCCUGGUCUGAUGAGUCUCGAUUUCUGCUGCAACAUUCAGAUGGUAGAGUCAGACUUUGGGAUAAACAACAUGAAAACUUGGAUCCAUGCUGCCUUGCAUCAACAGUUCAGGCUGCUGGUAGUGCGAUGGUGUGGGGGAUAUUUUCUUGGCACACUUUAGACCUCUUAGUGCCAACUGAGCGUAUAAACAACACGGCCUCCCUGAGUAUCGCUGCUGACCAUGUUACAUUAAAUUACAGCAGUAAAGCAGCCUUUAUUACCACCAUAUUACCAUCUUCAUGAGCUUGUUUAAUGUAACAUGUGGUAUAAAAGUAAUUCACAGUAAUGUCAGAUUAUGUUUGCAAAUUCUUUGUGAGCCCUAAAUCUCAUAAGCAGUUAAGAAAAUAAAUGGAUGGAUGGAUCACAGGUUUAUGCAGAUUCAUACUCUGGGGAGCAUUAAUGUUUACACUAAAUUGGACUCGACUAAAGUUUUGUUGGGUAAUUUUACAAAAAGUCAGAAAAAAAGAAAGAAAAAAACUUCCUCCUGGGCCUUAGGAAAUUACAUUUAUACAAAAGGAAUCACAUCCACACUGGCCUGGUAUCAAAAGAUAACAUAGGCAAUGAGACGUUUCAUAUGCUAUCACUUGUUUAGAGUCAGCUAUCCCCACAUGGUGAAACGUACCCUCGAAGCUUUGCUCCAAAAUGCUUUUUGAAGUUUUCAUUGGUAAAUUAUUGGAUAAGAGAUCAUCCCAGAUAUUGAAUUAGUGCAGUUUUGCCAUUGAAACUGUUAUUCAUCCAAUGAUACUGAUGCUCAAAGCUGGUCCAUCCAUCCAUGGAGCCAGUUUCUUCCACUUAUACAAUGGGCCGAGAAGCGGGGUACACCCUGGAGAGGUCACCAGUCUGUUGCAGGACGAACACAUAACACAUUCACACCUAUUGGCAAUUUAGAAUCACAAAUUAACCUAACCCUACUCACUGUACUGUGAGAGGAAGCUGUAGUACCCGUAGAAAACCCACACAAACACAGGGAAAAUAUGCAAACUCCACUUAGAAAUUACACGUGAAGACAGUGGAUUCAAACCCAGGACUUUCUUGCUGAUUACAGAAAAAUAAAAAAAAGUUCUGAAAAAAAAAGGAAGAUUUUUUGCUUUGGACUGUGACAGUUAAAGUGGAUGUAAAAUUGAUUUGGUUGCAGUUUGUAGCAGAGCUGAGAAACUGUGAGCUCUGAAAAUGUCAUGCCUCAACACUCAUGUACUUUACGAGGCCUCAAAAACUGCUGGAAACAAUAAGACGAAUCAAAAGCACCAGAUUUCCACCAACCCUUGUGUGCUUUUCAGGCCUGUCACUGGUACAAAGAUUAAAUUGCGCAUGGCUUCAUUAAAUAUGUUAAAGUUAAAAAUGGUGUCUUUCUAAGGAGGGGUCAGGUUGGAGGCGCACACUGUUUUUAAACAUGGCUAAAACUCGUCAUUACAUUUAAAAAAGAAGCUCAGGAUGACUGAAGUGCCGUUUAAGUUGAAAACAUGAAUUGUGCUAAUGACUACUCUGAAUAAUGUGAAAAUUACCAUGCCACAAAAUGUAACUGUUACUAAUUACUACAUGAAUGUUUGUAAUGAGUUCGACUAAUAACAGACUGCAAGUGGCAAAAACCGCAGAACAUGUUUUCACACGUGCACUGCUGGGUGGCCAAACGGCCAUGCAGUCUGUUUAUAACCAGUUCCUGUAAGAUUGCAUCAGGAAACAAGAAGCACACAUGAUGCAAAGACAAUGCAUCUUUGCAUCAUCUCUAUUUUACCAUUGGCUCUCCGUGCACAACCCCACCGUCCCCUUUUAACUAAGAACUGACACACCGCAGCAAUGAACUGCAAUGCCUUCACGACUGGGCAAAGGGGAUGCAACCUAAAACAAACCAUAAUUAUCUAUUUGUGGUUCUGCUUGGGGCAAAAAAGAACAUAAUACAAAAGCACACACACGAUGUUUGGAGUUCCAGUAAGUUCCACAACCACAGUUUAGUCUCAGGGGGAUUCUGGGUUCCUCUUAGCUGAACUUCUUCGCUUUCUUUCUUGAACGAUGCAUGCACACACAUAUACACUCCUGCAUGCAAUAAACAUAACACUAGCUCACAGGUCUUGGUGUCCACGGGACAGUUUGCUCUGCCGACCUGCUGUGAGCCGGGCCUGUGUCUUUUCUCCUAGACAUUGCUUCAGACUUACUAUCUGUUUCCACAGCCGUGCGCCUGCUGACCCGAGAAUGCGGACGGCACUCGGGUACAUUGUUUUAUGAGGCUGAGCGGCGUAUGUGAGAUGUAAAAUGUAGAUGCUGCUUAUUUUUCUGGAUAAAGCUAACUGUGGGCGUAUUUUUGCACCAGUGUGUGUUACAUUUAUUCUUAAGUGAUAAUCUGACAAGGAGAUUCUUGUCGUUUCACAUUUGGUGUCAUCUUUGGUGAAAUUUAGUAACUGCUCAAGUGAUUUGGGUGCAGUGUACCCCACCAUUACUUACAUAUGGAAAGUGACACAUUUCUGUCCUCGAGGGAUUUGGGCAAUUAAGGAAAACUUCAUGGAUUUUAAAUCUGUUUGUUUACAGGUCUUAUGGAGCCUACACUGCAUAAACGAUGGACAUAGCCCUAAAUGUGAUGUCACACUUGUUCCUGAACUAUCAUUUUGAUGCCUUGAAUUUAACGUUAUAAUUAUAACGACCUUAUUGUGGAGGAGGGGUUUGUGUGUGGAUGCGUGCCAGCGGCUAUGCUGUUGGGGAGCUUCUUGGCCUCAGGUAAUUGGUCCUGGGUGAUGGACCAGUUUGCCAUGGGAGAUAGCAGUCACGUAAGAAUUAGCAGACUGGGGUGGUGGUUCCCGUCUUCAAGAAGAGGGACCGGAGGGUGUGCUCCAACUAUAGGGAGAUCAGACUCUUAAGCCUCUCUGGGAAAGUCUAUGCCAGGGUGCUGGAAAAGAGAGUCUGUUCGUUAGUCAAACCUCAUAGACAUGAGUAUCUAAGGUUACAGAACACUGAACCAGCUCUUUACCCUCUGAAGGAUAUUUGAGGGUGCAUGGGAGUUUUCCCAACCAGUCUAUAUGUGUUUUGUAGACUUGGAGAAGGCACUGCCUUGGAGUGUUCUGUAGGAGGUGUUUCAGGAGUAUGGGGUGUCUAUGACCCAUUUGAUCCUUAUACAACUGUUUCAAGAGCUUGGUCCGCAUAGCUGGCAAUAGGUCGGACUCAUUCCCUGUGGGUGUUGGAUGAAAAGAUGGAGCACUGUGGCUAACGCUAGCUUGCUAAAACUUAGCAAACAAAGUAAUUUUUUUAUUUUUUGGACUCAAACAAAAAAUAGCUAGCGAGUCAAAACCAAUAUUUCCACCAGGCUGUAAAUACGCUUGUUUCUAAUAGAAAUUUUGGGCAUUUCACAUGGACGUCCAUAGAGAACCCUUUACUUUCAGAGGCAGCCUCAAGCCAUUAUUAUAUCUUGCCUGAAGUUCCAGUUUGGGUGUACAACUGUAUGCGUUAGUUUGUUAGCUGCUCAUUAAAUGCUUUGUGUAAUGCAGCUGCAGCUGAAGGCAUUUUUUGUAAAUUUAUCAGACCUCUGUAGCCUGCUAAUCAUCCCUGCUUGAGUUUUUGAAGCUACAUUAGCACCACCAAAAGUCACCAAAUUCUCAACACCCUGGUGAAGAUCACUCAUCUGUUUAUUCAAUAUGGCUGGUUUUUGUUUUUGUUCACAAUAAAUUGUGAAUGCAACAAAAGGAGUGCAAUGCUAACUUGGUGUGACUGUAACUGAAUGGGUCUUAAAUGAAAGAAAUAACUUGCCAUAAGUUUAGUUACUGUGUUAAUACGGAAAACAGUUGAUAUAUUCCAGCCUGAGCUGUAUAGCAGCACUUCAACUCAGAAUUUGCUCACAAUAAUUAAUAAGAACAUAGUUUGCAAAAGUUAUCAAAGGGUACUCAAAGGAAAUCCAUGGUACAGUUUCACAGAAGGUGUAACUAGGCAAAUCGGGGAGUGGACACCUUGGUACGACCAAAAUUACUGCGACCAUGUCCAAUGAACUUGAGAGUUGCCAAUGAAAUAGUUGCUUUGAAGAUGCCAACCAGGUCUGCGACCACUCGCAGUCAGCUGCCAUCUUCAAAGUGACCCGUGUCAAAAUGGUGAUACAGAUGGAGUCAGUCUGCCUUCAGUGUGAGACUGAAUCAAGUUGGCAAUUACAUGCGAUCUGUUUGUGAUAAUAAAACAAUUAACUGAGGAAAAUAGGUGAAAACCACAAAUCUGUUGUUGUCUACUUACAUUCAGAUUCCAACCAGAACCUCAUAGAACUGAAACAGUCGUUAAGCAGUUCCUCCUCAGAUAGUGAUGUUGCUCCAAACAUGCUUUCAUAUAAGAAUAUAAUCAGAAUAUAACCAGUUGCUAACUAAUCGAGUCAAGUCCCCUGUUGUAGAGAGACUUGUUGCAGACAAACUCAGGCUGAUUGCAAUGUGUUGGCAAUCUGUAUUUAUGAAUUAAAAAGCAAUUACUGGCAAACAUUUACCAGUCUGUCUGAGAGUGAUAGCAGUCAGUCCAACUUGAACUCCAACUGUUUGGAGACAGGUUGCCUCCCACCAGUUGACCUCUUCCAAAAAUGGUCAUGCAGAGGUUGAGGCUGUUGCAUGCUCAACCUUUGGGCAGUCAGUUGGGUGCUGCAGCUACUUGCAAUUUGCUGAAUCCGAACAAAUUCAAGCAAUCACUGUGCAACCAUCGAUUUUUCCUAGUUGCAAGGAGGUUUGACUGAGUUGUAAGCGUCUUUGUUCACGCGUGUAUUGCAUAAACUGAGAAACAUUUAACAGGAGUGGUCUUCCCAAAAUGUCACACUUCCUGAAAGAGAAACAAAUACCACAGUUGUGUCGUCAUAUGUGCCAUCGCAAGGCUCUGAGAGCUUUCUGAUGUUCUUGCUCCGGUUUUCCACACUCGAUAUAGUACGGGGUGUUCGCUGCUCGUAUUUUACAUACUUCUCCACCCUUUCCCGAACACUGCUGCUGCUGCUGCAACCCCUUGACCUGUCUGUCGACCCUUGUUCCCAUGACAAUUAGUUAGAAACCUUGGCCAAUUAUCGGCCGCUCUCAAACUCGGGCUUAACAAAGUGCUCAGAGCGGCCGACGGCGUGCCACCACUUUCCUAAACCCCCUCAAUAGCCGAGAGAGAUUUGUGUGAUGGGUUAAUAGCGGGAUAGUAAAAGCACUGCAGAGGCGACAUUGUUGAGUUCAUGUUGGUUUAUAGUGCGCUGUGACCCUGCUGAACGUUUUAUAUAGAAGGGUGUCUAUCAUGGGAUAAGGGCAGCAUAAAGAGGACUCCACAACAAGCAGCCAUAAAAGCCUGGUACAGACUUUGAGGGCCUCUACAGAAAAAAAGGAGACCUCAGGAGCAACUGAAAUGAAAUCUGAUUCAUGGAAAGGCAAGACUGAAAGAGCUGAGGGCCAUGCUGCACAACCUGUUACACACUGCCAGGCGAGAAACAGAGAUCGAGUGUCUUUCUAUUCUGCGUGUAGGUGACGCGUCCCCUCAAGAAUGUGGUUCUCUUCCUCUCGCCGUUUGCUUCAGUUUCCCCCUCUGCCUGCUUACUUCACUCGCACAGCCGAGGAGCUGUCGCUUGAGGAAUCUGGAAAACACCAGCGGGGAAUGAGAGGAAUUUCUGCUUUUCGUUUUUCCUUAACCACCCCCUCACUCCUUUUGCUCUCUUUACUUUGGACGCCUCUGCACAGCCGGGCUCUUGAGUUUUCUCUUGUUUCUGAAUGCAGCCCAACAAUAACAACCUCUCAUAAACAAUGGGGCUUGUUGAUUUGGGGGUUGUGAAGGAGAGUGGCCGUUGCUGGCCUGCGCUGUCAGUUUUGCUGGCAGCGGGCCUCGCGAAUGGCCCUAAAAGCUCGAAAGUACAGGCUACAUCGAGGACUGUGAAAGAUUUAAGGGCAACUUUAAAUAUGCCCCAUCUCUGAAGGACCAUAAACACAUGCUUUAGUUCUUUCUUAAUCUAUCUUUCUUCCAGAAGGACUUUGAUGGACCAAACUCUGAAAGGGGGAUGCUGGUCAAUGUCAGGAAACCACAAAAGUACAGGGGGGAAAAAAUGGUAGUUUUGGAAUUCUCUGCUUUUACAGCACCCGUGGACUCGUAAAGGGAGUCUGGAUCACAUCGAGUAGGAUUUGAACAAGACGAUCGUGGAGCCGUGCCCCGUCCUUUCAGCCUAUGGGCAAAACAUAGCCGGUCACAUGUCAUUUAAACAGCAACAGUUAAACCCUGCCUGCGUGACAGGGAAAUGAUAAUACAGAGUGAUGUGUCCUGGAAUAACUCUGUCUCUACUGUUUCCAUUUUGGAAGAUGAUACCGCACAUUGCUGGACAUUGUCCCUCAUCUGCUGAACCGAUUUAAUGACUCUCGCAUCAACUAAAUCAAAAUAAAAUGUCAAAAGGGAUUCCUGUGAAUGAGAUGGGUAAACAAACCACUGCAUUUUAUUAUAAUUUCCUACAGGCUGCAUACCAGAGCAAAGCUUUUUUGGAAAUACAAUGGUUUUUCCAAAAUAUCUCAGAUGCACAAACAAGACAUUACACAGUCCACUGCCUUUAGCGGGAACACACAGGAGUGGUGCGCCCUCAUGUGGGCAACAGGAGACCAGCAGGCUUUAGGUUGAAUUUAGGGUAAAAACAAAACAGUCAUUGUUUUGUAUCUGUGCUUCUGUGUAGCUAGCCGUCCUCCAUCCAAACACAA